GAGGAGCUGGCUCUGCGCAGCACCACGGACAGCGCCCCGGGCCGGGAUGUCGGGAUGUUGUAGGGGAGCCGAGAGGCAGCGGGCCCGGGGUGCUGCAGAGGAGCUGGGAUACUGCCUGCGGGGCCCGGGCUUCUACCUGAGCGACCCGAGAUGCGGUGGCAAGCUGGUAAAACCUGGAGAAAGUGAGACUCUGCGAGGUCCUCACCGCGUAACUGGGCAUGCCCAGUGUGCAGUGCCGGUCUGGGGAGAAAGGAGUUAACUCCAGGGGAGCUUGCAGAUUAGGUGGCAAAGUCUGAGUCUGUGGCUAUAAAUGAUGGCUUGAGUCCUGUGGACAUUUACAUUCUUGUUCUUGUUAUAUUUCUACCCCGGGUUAGUUUUGGAGAAGAAACAGCAGAUAUUUUUAUUUCAACAUCACAAACCCAAUAGCCUCAGCCUCAGAUGCCAUAAGGACAAACCAAAGACUCCUGACUCUCCCAAAGCAAAUCCAAAAGCAAUGAUAGAGAGGAAAGCAAACACCAGAGAGGAGAGCGCUACAAAAAUGAUUAAUUAACUAAAGAAGCUUGGCAAGUUAAGGAGAACAUGACCCAUGCGGAUCAAAGGAAUAGAACAGAGAAGGCACAUUCAUGCACCUGAUCUUUGACAAAGGGGCCAAAAACAUAUGCAGCAGUAAAGAGAGUCCCUUCAAUAAAUGGUGCUGAGAAAAUAGGCUAUCCACAGGCAGAAGAUUGAAUCUAGACCCAUAUUGCUCACCAUGUAUUAAACUAAAAUGAAAACAGAUCAAAGAUCUAAAUAUUAAAACAGAAACACUUGCCAGGUGUGGUGGCACAGGCUUGUAAUCACAGAACUUGGGAGGUUGAGGCAGGAGGAUUGCUGUGAGUUCAAGGCCAGCCCAAGUUACAUAAUGAGCUCAAGCCCAGCCUGAACUACAAAGUGAGACCAUGUAUUAAAAAAAAAAAAAGGAUUGUAAAACAGAAACACUUAAUCUGCAGGAAGCUAAGGUAGAUAAAACUCUGAAUACUACACCAACUGUGUAAGAAAUAG
Molecule: long non-coding RNA, 1041 nt
Organism: Heterocephalus glaber (naked mole-rat)
Lineage: Eukaryota; Metazoa; Chordata; Mammalia; Rodentia; Bathyergidae
Source: Ensembl